This 259-nucleotide ribosomal RNA is filed under the name uncultured archaeon. RNAcentral describes it as "partial 16S ribosomal RNA". It matches the Rfam family "Archaeal small subunit ribosomal RNA", at positions 748 to 1009 of the family's 1478-position model. The record is from RNAcentral.
CAGCCGUAAACUAUGCUCGCUAGGUGUCAGGCAUGGCGCGACCGUGUCUGGUGCCGCAGGGAAGCCGUGAAGCGAGCCACCUGGGAAGUACGGCCGCAAGGCUGAACUUAAGGAUUGGCGGGGGAGCACAACAACGGGUGGAGCCUGCGGUUUAAUUGGACUCAACGCCGGACAACUCACCGGGGGACGACAGCAAUAUGUAGGCCAGGCUGAAGACCUUGCCUGAAUCGCUGAGAGGAGGUGCAUGGCGUAGACGUCU